AUGCACGCUGGCGGCGUGCUUCACCCCUGCAAGUCGAACGAUGAAGCCCAGCUUGCUGGGUGGAUUAGUGGCGAACGGGUGAGUAACACGUGAGUAACCUGCCCUUAACUCUGGGAUAAGCCUGGGAAACUGGGUCUAAUACCGGAUAGGAGCGUCCACCGCAUGGUGGGUGUUGGAAAGAUUUAUCGGUUUUGGAUGGACUCGCGGCCUAUCAGCUUGUUGGUGAGGUAAUGGCUCACCAAGGCGACGACGGGUAGCCGGCCUGAGAGGGUGACCGGCCACACUGGGACUGAGACACGGCCCAGACUCCUACGGGAGGCAGCAGUGGGGAAUAUUGCACAAUGGGCGCAAGCCUGAUGCAGCGACGCCGCGUGAGGGAUGACGGCCUUCGGGUUGUAAACCUCUUUCAGUAGGGAAGAAGCGAAAGUGACGGUACCUGCAGAAGAAGCACCGGCUAACUACGUG
Molecule: ribosomal RNA, 465 nt
Filed under: uncultured bacterium
Lineage: Bacteria
Description: partial 16S ribosomal RNA
Rfam family: Bacterial small subunit ribosomal RNA
Source: RNAcentral